This is a long non-coding RNA of Chelonia mydas (Green sea turtle), 760 nucleotides long. RefSeq lists it as uncharacterized. The transcript is spliced from 3 exons. NCBI's taxonomy places the organism in Eukaryota, Metazoa, Chordata, Testudines, Cheloniidae. The record is from RefSeq and is a predicted model, not a curated record.
CCCCCAACCCCCUCCUCACAUGACCCAAAAUGGAUUCCAACACCAAUUAGAAGCACCCUGGGUCUCUGCCAAUAUACUGCUCCAAGAUAUUGGACUCCUGCUUACUUAGAGCCUACUCUGUGAAAACCUUCCUCAUGAAGAGUCAGUCCCCAUGCAUGUUCACAGAUUCUAUUGCUAUGAACUCUAACAAGUGUAGUAAAUCCAGUCGUUGAACAAUUAGAAGGGAAAAAGGUGCUUAUGGACAUUGGAAAGCAGCCUGACAGCAGAGACUUCAGCUGUCAGCUCAGUAGGGUACUCUACAGAGAAAAAGUACAGAAAACUACUGUAAAUGUAUCAUUCUUGUACAAAAAGAGAACUUAGGGAGCUGUGAACUAUCAUCCUUCUAUGUACCCUAUCUACAAUGAACAAUGAAUUUACUGCAACACUAGAUUUCAACCAGCCAAGGGAAGAGAGUGGUGUUCAGGCAAAAUUCACCACUGGAGAGAAACUGUCUUAUAUAAAAAAUGAACGGCAAGGAGAAGAGAAUGAAUAGCUUUCUUUUAUUGACUGUGAGAGCUUCCCCAUUCACCAGGAAAGGACAGUACAUGGAGAAUUCUCGUAAAGCGGAUGAUUACUGCUAUAGAAUGUGCUGAGACACGUACGUGAAAAAUUAGGUGUCUAAUCUUUGUAAAAAUAACGAUAUACAGCAAAUAACUAGGAUAGAGAAAACCUUUCACAUCAUCAAUAGACCUUAAUGGUUUGUGAAGUAAAUGUGAAUGUA